GACGAACGCUGGCGGCGUGCCUAACACAUGCAAGUCGAACGGAGCACUUCGGUGCUUAGUGGCGAACGGGUGAGUAACGCGUGAGCAACCUACCUUUCAGUGGGGGACAACAGUUGGAAACGACUGCUAAUACCGCAUGAUGUCAUCGGGGGACAUCCUCUGGUGACCAAAGCUUUAUGUGCUGAAAGAUGGGCUCGCGUCUGAUUAGCUAGAUGGCGGGGUAACGCCCACCAUGGCGACGAUCAGUAGCCGGUCUGAGAGGAUGGACGGCCACAUUGGGACUGAGAUACGGGCCCAGACUCCUA
This 305-nucleotide ribosomal RNA is filed under the name uncultured bacterium. Its description in RNAcentral is "bacterial SSU rRNA". It matches the Rfam family "Bacterial small subunit ribosomal RNA", at positions 28 to 341 of the family's 1533-position model. The record is from RNAcentral.